This 923-nucleotide long non-coding RNA is filed under the name Brassica napus (rape). RNAcentral describes it as "long non-coding RNA (BNAP_LNC015355)". Lineage: Eukaryota; Viridiplantae; Streptophyta; Magnoliopsida; Brassicales; Brassicaceae. The record is from RNAcentral.
AAAAUUAAAAAAAAAAAUUAAUUUUGUCUGUUAAAAAAAAAUCGAGACAACUUCCAUGUAAGUCAUCUAAGGUAAACGAGUUAGUUUUGCAUUUGACCGGAUUGUGUCAGAAAGUUGAAUUUUCCUGGACGACUUAAAUUAAAAUAUCAAUAUUUUGUUAUACCUAGAUGACUUACAUGUAAAAUAUAUUUUGUACGUAUACUAGAAUAAAGGUGGAUACGAGGAAUAGGAUUGUAAAAUAUAUUAGCUUAAUUGCAGAACAUUUUUUUGGAUGCUGCUUUAAAAUGAACAAACCAGAGAUUAUAGAAAAGUAUGUGUGCCAUCAUGAUCCAUAAGUUUUGUUUUGAUGAUGGUUUUGAUAUCUUGAUAAAUGGAAUUAGGAGAGCAAGAAAUGUACAUGGAGGAGGAUAAUCUUAGAUUUCUCUCUUUCCAAAAAUGAGAUGAAGGUUUGUAUGAUUGGCGCAAGGGAUUGCUUUUCUUCAGCCAAUCCAAUACUUUCUGAAAUAUUAAAACUGCUCAGAUGCAAUGGUAGAGGAGCGAGCACAUGUCGUGAGUCUCGUGACUGAAGGUGCAGCUGAUGAGAUCGUUUACUUUAGCUUGGAGUAUGAUUAUAUCCACUUCUGUCGUAACAUGUAUAUGUUUGUGGAAUAGAUCUGAAUUCUUUAAAAAUCUGACCAAGAUACUAACUUUUUUUUUAGUUAAAACACGUGAAAGCUCAAGAUUAAUUAGUUUACUUCAGCAUUGUAAACAAAAUUCAUAAAUUCCAUACAAUUUGCAUACGCUAUUGUCUUAAGUAUUAUUGUAUUUGGUGAAGCCUCCUUGAUGUAUAAAUAUUAAUAUUCAUAUUAUGAAAUUAGUAGCACAAAUUUUUUGUCUUAAAAUUUCAUCUUUGUCUCUCUCAGGUCUGUACUGUAUGAACAAAG